UAAGUGCGUGGGCCCUGGUUGAACUGACAUGGAAUGACCCUGCUUGUUGUCUGAACUCUUGGCUGUGUGAGAUGAACAAGCCUGACAGGGCUUGACUACUGAGUUUGGGAGAAAAAACAAAAACACCCCCCCAAAGACCCCCAUCGACAGCUGCUGUCUUAUGACAAGAUCUCCAACAGGUUUGGCAGGGUUGGCUAAGUGGAACAGCAAGCUCAGGCACACAGACCAUGUGAGAAUAUAACUGUUACUCUCAACAGGGUCAGGGCGAUACUAGGCUAUUUUAGUGUGCACGGCUCGAAACAUCACAAAAAAAAAAAAAAGAUUAUGAAUGGAAGCUAUCUGGUGUGCGGAUCAUCUCUUAUCCUCUUGAUUUAUUUCAAAAUACCAUUACCAUGUUACCAUGGAGACUAGAUGACAGCUCCUGGACAGACUUUGAGAGACAUUGCAUAAAAUCCCAAGCACUUCUAUCCAAAGAUUCUAGAGCGGAGCGUAGCGCUCUAGAAUCUUUGCUUCUAUCUGUGUUGGGAUCGUUUUGAUUUGUUUGCUUUUAAGAAGGAAGCCCUGUGCACUGGUGAGAGCCCAUUGUGAGCGGCAUUUAGGGGGUGAGAAUUUGGCUGUGAAAAGAAAUGGGAGGAAACAGUAAGAGAAUAAUGAAGUCACGGGUCUCAUGACACAUGAGACUGCGGUGUAAACACUUGUUUUCUUCUUGCCCCCCAUUGUUGAACAAGCGCUAACGCCUCUGCCUUUUUCCAAUGCAAUUUUAAACUCGCUUUGUGAGGAGAGCUUUGUUGUCUCAAAGGAGGUCAUAUUUCCCUUGAGGAAGAAGUAUGCGUGUGCAUAUAAACUUCAUGAGAACUGAACGGGAAAAUAAAUGACUUGGCCUCAGUUAACAUUCUACUUAGAAUUACAUUUGCAUUUAGGUAUGCCAUGUAGCCUAUUAGCCUACUUUCCAAAAGGCAGAAGAGUCCUCAACGUAACCAAAAUGAAUACAAAGUGCCCAGACAACACACAAACAGCGCAUGGUAAAGCUGGAGAAGUGGUCUGGAAUGGAGACACUUCAACAACCUGCCUGCCAUUUCCUUUCCCGUGGCUGAACAAGAGGAAAGAAUUCAAUGGCUUGCCUGCGAGUUUGGAACAAAUGGAUGGCAACAAUCUGGUCAGCGAGUUUUUGGUCUUUGAUUGCCCUCUUCAAAUGUCCUUCAAACAAAGGCUGUGGGUGAAAAUAAAGCCCCACCUGGUACUUCUGUUUGCUAAAAUAAUAAUAAAUAGAUUUCGUUUAAUAAAUAAUGGCAAGGUACUGUAAAGUGAAGUAGUAACGGAAGUAUUAAUCAUGAGGCUUGGGGCACCUAUCACCUGCUCUCCAGUUAGUAUGGUUUAUUGUUAAAUAUUGUUAAAUCACUUUCGGACCAACUCUGACGAUAUCUAUAAUUUCCACAGCAACUGGGGGCCAAUGUUUGCCUAUGCUUUGCAUAGCAAGCAGGAUAUUACAAGACACUGAUAAAAAAUCAGACGACAAAACUGAGAGAUUCAAACUCACACCUGUCCGCGAUACGAGAAUAUGGUUUUGGCAUCAAUGGUUAUUUGUAAAGCCGUACUAUUUGGUUUACUUUGGAUUAUUUUGAGCUUUUUAUAACACCAUGACAACACCCCCUAUCUCUUAGGUGUAUUUGUUCAUUUUAUUGAAAGCAUAUGGUUAUCAGAUGCCCCCCAAAAUACAUAUUUAGUUAGAAUGCCGAGAAGUACCUAUGUGGGCACUGCGUAGACAAUGGCAAACAUCUAAUGUUAAACUAAGUUAGUCUCAUAAACGCCAAAGAUUGAGAUACAAAGUACCUGAGAAUAAACCAAACAUGUGCGGCCAGUUUGUUUAGUAAGGCUUGACUAUCAUUGGUUAAAAAACAACGUGUACUCUCCUGCUUCAUUGUACUCCAAACAGGUGACACAAGGGCGCACGUAUGAUCCACGGCCGAAUAAUUAUUUUAUAAUAUAUUUGUAGCGACUAAUAACAGAAUCUGAUGAAUUAAUAAUGCCUUAGGUUGAUUUCAACCAAACCUUUUUUUCCUUUUUUGAUGAUAUUCGUCGAAAUAAUUCACAGCGUAAAUCACAACUAAACUAUCUCCAUUUGGACAUGCGUAUUGGUUCCAUGGUUUCCUUUCAAAAUGUAUUGAUAUUCAAGUAAUGGAGGUUUAAAAGGUAUACUUUGUAUAUCUAUGAUGCUCUGCUGAGAACACAGCAGAUUCUUCCAAAUAUGACUCAGUUUAACGCAGUCUUGACCAACUAAAUUCCUUCCAACGCUAUUUUAUCUCCAUCGUGGAAACUCGUUUUGGAGUGUAUAAAGCGCAAUAUAUAAUCGCGGUGUUGUUGGGAAUGUUAUUGGGAAUUGGUUUCUUUUAAGGAUAAAUGCAAACAUGCCAAGAGUAAAUUAUUUAAAAACGCAUCUUCAUUAUAUGCUAUAUAGACCUAUAACUAUUUGCAUGGAAUGCAUUCUAGUUCAUGAUGGGUUACGCAGCUAUUUUCUCGGAGGUUCAUAGUAAACGAUUACGCACUGAAUUGCUUAAACCAGGCAAAAACAUUUAGAAGAGAGAGUGAACAUCGAAUAAGUGUUUGGCAUGAAAGGUGCUCAAUUCAAUGUCUGCGUAAACGAUUUGUUUACCAAUUGCCACAUGGCCCUUUUCACGGCCAUGCUGUCUUUUGUUGAACUUGGGGAUUGGAACUCAAGUAAAGACUGGGCAGAGACUCUCAAAGACCCCUCUAGAAGAUGAUUGGCCACUUCCCAGCCCUAUUUGCUCUAAGGCACGCUCCAUGCGCACUGAUAAGAUAAAUGAUACAUAAAUGACCAAUGACCAUCAAUGCGUCAUUGUCCAUGGAAGCUGAAAAAGGCACGACGACUUCAGACUUCGCCUCUUCCACGGAAAGCUCAGCCUAACUUUGAGACCUGAAAACCAUUCAAUUAAGGACUCUGAGCAAUUCAAAGCCAUUUAGGUGAAGCGCAAGUGGGACAGGAUGUCUCCCAAAUCGGCGUGCGAUUCUACCGACAGACAUGGGGUGUGUGAUUCUGAAGUCAGUGACCAGUCAAGCCAACUCUCUGGGCGCGGAAGGAGCGAAAAUCAGCAAUACAGAAUUGCGUCAAAAAGAGAUGCGAGAAUGAAGGACAAACGCAUUACAGCUGGUGAAAAUAAAACAAUUGUCAGGUUCAGAUCCAAAGCCGGCAAAUACUGGGUCAAGCAACGGGU
This is a long non-coding RNA of Alosa sapidissima (American shad), 3230 nucleotides long. RefSeq lists it as uncharacterized. The transcript is spliced from 3 exons. The record is from RefSeq and is a predicted model, not a curated record. Lineage: Eukaryota; Metazoa; Chordata; Actinopteri; Clupeiformes; Clupeidae.